UACGUAGGGGGCGAGCGUUGUCCGGAUUUACUGGGCGUAAAGGGCGCGCAGGCGGUCCGCCAAGGUCUGGGUGAAAGCCCCCCGCUCACCGGGGGGAGGGCCGGGGCGACUGGCGGACUGGAGGAGGGCAGAGGCCGGUGGAAUUCCCGGUGUAGUGGUGAAAUGCGUAGAGAUCGGGAGGAACACCCGUGGCGAAAGCGGCCGGCUGGGCCCUGUCCUGACGCUGAGGCGCGAAAGCGUGGGGAGCGAA
Molecule: ribosomal RNA, 250 nt
Filed under: uncultured bacterium
Lineage: Bacteria
Description: partial 16S ribosomal RNA
Rfam family: Bacterial small subunit ribosomal RNA
Source: RNAcentral